CGUAGGUGACCUGCGGCAGGACAUUAAUGAAUAACUUUGGCGUGGUUGUAGCUGGCUCUUAGGAGCAUGUGCACACCCGUCAUCUUUAUCUUUCCACCUGUGCACACUAUGUACAUCUGGAUAACUCUCGCUCUUCUGAGCGGAAACGGGAUUGCUGCGUCGCAAGGCCAGCUCUCUUUGAAUUUCCCGGUCUAUGUCAGGUUACAGACCCCAAUUGAAUGAUGCAGAAUGUCGUCAAUGGGCUCUAAGCCUAUAAAACAAAAUACAACUUUCAGCAACGGAUCUCUUGGCUCUCGCAUCGAUGAAAAACGCAACCAAAUGCCAUAAGUAAUGUGAAUUGCACAAUUCAGUGAAUCAUCGAAUCUUUGAACGCACCUUGCGCUCCUUGGUAUUCCGAGGAGCAUGCCUGUUUGAGUGUCAUUAAAUUCGCGACCUCACCAGAUUUGUAACGAGACUGUGUAAGG
RNAcentral lists this unclassified non-coding RNA (464 nucleotides) under Ephemerocybe bispora. RNAcentral describes it as "Coprinellus bisporus sequence contains 18S rRNA gene, ITS1, 5.8S rRNA gene". The stretch from base 267 to 420 matches the Rfam family "5.8S ribosomal RNA". The record is from RNAcentral. Lineage: Eukaryota; Fungi; Basidiomycota; Agaricomycetes; Agaricales; Psathyrellaceae.